This 1492-nucleotide ribosomal RNA is filed under the name uncultured bacterium. Its description in RNAcentral is "bacterial SSU rRNA". It matches the Rfam family "Bacterial small subunit ribosomal RNA". The record is from RNAcentral.
GAUGAACGCUGGCGGCGUGGAUAAGGCAUGCAAGUCGAACGCUCCGAUUUCGGUCGGAGAGUGGCAAACGGGUUAGUAACACGUAACUAUCUGCCCGAUACUCAGGCAUAACUUAGAGAAAUCUAAGCUAAUUCCUGAUAGUCCCUGCUUCGGUAGGGUAAAGGCGCAAGCCGGUAUCGGAUGAGGUUGCGGCCUAUCAGCUUGUUGGUGAGGUAAUAGCUCACCAAGGCUAUGACGGGUAGGGGGUGUGAGAGCAUGGCCCCCAACAAGGGCACUGAGACACGGGCCUUACUCCUACGGGAGGCAGCAGUCGAGAAUCUUCCGCAAUGGGCGAAAGCCUGACGGAGCGACGCCGCGUGCUUGAAGAAGCCUUAAGGUGUAAAGAGCUUUUCUGGAGGAAUAACCCCGUUUUCUAAGCUUGUGGAGAGCAGUUGGAGUAGACAAAUUUAAUAAUUUGUGUUUUCCUCUAACUUGUAUUUCAACGGGCAUAGAAAGCGGGGUGAAGGUACUCCAGGAAUAAGGAGCCUCUAAACUCGUGCCAGCAGAGGCGGUAAUACGAGUGCUCCAAGCGUUAUCCGGAUUCACUGGGCGUAAAGCGUCUGUAGGCGGUCAGAAAAGUUUUUGGUUAAAGACUCAGGGCUUAACCUUGAGAAUGCCAAAAAUACUCUUUGACUAGAGGGUGCCAGGGGUUGUUGGAACCGACGGUGUAGGGGUGAAAUCCGUUGAUAUCGUCGGGAACACCAAAAGCGAAGGCAUUCAACUGGGGCAACCCUGACGCUGAGAGACGAAAGCGUGGGGAGCAAAAAGGAUUAGAUACCCUUGUAGUCCACGCCGUAAACGAUGGACACUGGCUAUUGUAAGUGUCGACCCUUGCAGUGGCGAAGCUAACGCGUUAAGUGUCCCGCCUGGGAAGUACAACGGCAACGUUGAAACUCAAAGGAAUAGACGGGGAUCCACACAAGCGGUGGACCAUGUGGCUUAAUUCGACAACAAGCGAGGAACCUUACCAGGACUUGACAGACUAGUGAAACCCUGAUGAAAGUUAGGGCCACCACAAGGACACUAGUCCAGGUGCUGCAUGGUUGUCGUCAGCAGGUGGCUUGAGUUGCUCCCUUAAAUGGGGUAACCUGCGCAACCCCUACUUCUAUGUUUUAAUUGUCAUAGAGAACUGCCCGAGACAAUCGGGAGGAAGGCGGGGAUGACGCCAAAUCAGCAUGGCCCUUUGAUGUCCUGGGCUGCACACGUGGUACAAUGGGGCCGACAACGAGUUGUGAAGCGGUAACGUGGAACCAAUCUCUUAAACGGUCUCUCAGUUCGGAUUGAGGUCUGCAAUUUGACCUCAUGAAGCCGGAAUCGCUAGUAAUCGCUAAUCAGCCAUGUAGCGAUGAAUAUGUUCCUGGAUCUUGUACUCACCGCCCGUCACAUCAGGAAAGCUAGCAAUACCCGAAGUCCGCGUCUGACGCGGCCUAAGGUAAGGUUAGUGAUCAGGAUG